AACUUUUCCUAUGAACUCUUCUCUAAAGCAGGUCACAGGGAAAAAAAGGGUUUAAAGAGAAAUAACUUCUCCGGGCAAAAACUGAGGUUAGCGGGCCUAUCAGCUGUUUCUUCUCACUCCACCACUGCUGCUGACUGGAGGAGCAGCCUGGAAAGCAGCCGCCCUCCCGCCCUUAGCAGAAUGACGCAUCAUCCAUAAAAAAUGUGAAUGUGAGGACGGUGGGACCAUCCUGGCACACUGAGCAGCAGGGACCUCCGAGCCCUCAGAUGUCAUCCAGCCAGGUGUGUGGGGGCCACUCGCCAUGCACAGCUUCUCUCAGCAGAGGCUGACCAGAAUGGUGGUGAUAUGAAGAGUUGGGGAAUUCGACUUGAAUACAAAACAUAACACUGCUUUCACUUAAAAAGGUUGGUGAACCAUACUCCAACAGAAAGGGGACAUAAGACUGGCUCUGCUGGAGUGAGGAAGCUGACUGAGGGAAGAACCAGAAGGCUGCCAAAAUACAAUUGUGUGCCUUUAAAGGAAAUAACAACAAGAAUUAGGAGCGCCCUGGAGGCAAGGUCUGCUGCUGGGGAAACCAAACCACAGUAACUUCAGAAAUAUAUACUUGGAAUAUGUCAUGUAUUAAUGGGUAAAGACACCGUGGAUAUGAAGGAAAUCACCUAUGGGAGAAUAUUAAGAAGAGAAGAAGGGGCUGCUGGCUGUAGUGAAAUGUAUAAAAAGGAGAGUGUGAUCCUAGUUUCUGUCUCUAACUAUGAGUUACUUGUGAUUAACUUCAAAUAUUCUCUCCAUAAGAAGAGGCCCAGAAGAAGAAGAUGAGCUUCAGUUAUUCUAGCACAACUGCUGUGAUAUUUGUAAAUAUUCAAAACCUAUAAUAAAAUGUAUAAAAGGAAACUCCAUUUGAAAUGAUUUGAAAUCUCACAUGGAAAUCUAUUUUUUUUAAAUCAGAGCUUAGUAAGAGAAAAUAACAGAACAUUGUAAUAAUUGAAUUACAAAAACAACUGAAUUUUGGAAAAUUUAUUUUCUCUCAUGUGAUGUGUGUGUAUGUGUGUGUGUGUGUGUGUGUAUCUAUUUAGCAAUGGCGUUAUUCUAUCAAAUGGGAUUAGAUUCAUUUUUGACUCCUGCUAAGCACCCUGUCCCCCCAACCCCAAGAUUAUGAAAGCGGAAGGGAAGGGGGAGAUAGGAAAUAUGACUUAUUUAAACUGUAUAAAAAUGCUGAAAUAAAAUGAACAUUCAAAACUC
RNAcentral lists this long non-coding RNA (1239 nucleotides) under Homo sapiens (human). Its description in RNAcentral is "non-protein coding LINC01829:29". Lineage: Eukaryota; Metazoa; Chordata; Mammalia; Primates; Hominidae. The record is from RNAcentral.